Molecule: ribosomal RNA, 447 nt
Filed under: uncultured bacterium
Lineage: Bacteria
Description: partial 16S ribosomal RNA
Rfam family: Bacterial small subunit ribosomal RNA
Source: RNAcentral
AUCGAACGCUGGCGGCAGGCUUAACACAUGCAAGUCGAACGCCCCGCAAGGGGAGUGGCAGACGGGUGAGUAACGCGUGGGAAUCUACCCUGAUCUGCGGGAUAGCUCCGGGAAACUGGAAUUAAUACCGCAUAUGUCCUGAGGGACAAAGAUUGAUCGGUUCAGGAUGAGCCCGCGUCCGAUUAGCUAGUUGGUGGGGUAAAGGCCUACCAAGGCGACGAUCGGUAGCUGGUCUAAGAGGAUGAUCAGCCACAUUGGGACUGAGACACGGCCCAAACUCCUACGGGAGGCAGCAGUGGGGAAUAUUGGACAAUGGGCGCAAGCCUGAUCCAGCCAUGCCGCGUGAGUGAUGAAGGUCUUAGGAUUGUAAAGCUCUUUCACCGGGGACGAUAAUGACGGUACCCGGAGAAGAAGCCCCGGCUAACUUCGUGCCAGCAGCCGCCGUAA